Molecule: non-coding RNA, 1285 nt
Organism: Heterocephalus glaber (naked mole-rat)
Lineage: Eukaryota; Metazoa; Chordata; Mammalia; Rodentia; Bathyergidae
Source: RefSeq, a predicted model, not a curated record
GUAGCGGCAGUGACUGCCACUGCCGGCGAAGCAGUCUGAGCCCUACGAUGAGGCCGGGGACUGGAGCCGAGCGUGGAGGCCUCAUGAUGCCUGGAAUGAUGUCUUCAGUAAUGCCUGGGAUGAUGAUGUCUCAUAUGUCUCAGGCUUCCAUGCAACCUGCCUUACCGCCAGGGGUAAAUAGUAUGGAUGUGGCAGCAGGUACAGCAUCUGGCACAACAUGGACAAAGAAGAUGCAUUAAUUUGCUUUGAAGAGCAUAUUCGGGCUUUAGAAUAGGAGGAGGAAGAAGAAAAACAGAAGAAUUUGCUGAGAGAAAGGAGACGUCAGCGUAAAAAUAGAGAAUCUUUUCAGAUAUUUUUAGAUGAACUGCAUGAACAUGGACAACUACAUUCUAUGUCAUCUUGGAUGAAAUUGUAUCCAACCAUUAGUUCUGACAUUAGAUUCACUAAUAUGCUUGGUCAGCCUGUUUUUUCAUUAGGAUCAACUGCACUUGAUCUUUUCAAGUUUUAUGUUGAGGAUCUUAAAGCACAUUAUCAUGAUGAAAAAGAAAAUAAUAAAAGACAUUCUAAAGGAUAAAGGAUUUGUAGUUGAAGUAAAUACUACAUUUGAAGAUUUUGUGGCAAUAAUUAGUUCAAUUAAAAGAUCAACUAUCUUGGAUGCUGGAAAUACCAAGUUGGCUUCCAAUAGUCUACUGGAAAAGGCAGAAGCCCGUGAACAUGAAAGAGAAAAAGAAGAGGAUCGGAAAAUGAAAUGAAAAGAAUCUGCAUUUAAGAGCAUGUUGAAACAAGCUGCUCCUCCAAUAGAAUUGGGUGCUGUCUGGGAAGAUAUCUGGGAGAGAUUUGUAAAAGAGCCAGCAUUUGAGGACAUAACUCUAGAGUCUGAAAGAAAAAGAAUAUUUAAAGAUUUUAUGCAUGUCCUUGAGCAUGAGUAUCAGCAUCAUCAUUCAAAGAAUGAGAAACAUUCUAAGAAAUCUAAGAAACAUCAUAGAAAGCAUUCCCGCUCUCAAUUGGGGUCAGUUUCAGAUGAUGAAGACAGCCAUUCAAAGAAAAAAAGACAGCGAUCAGAGUCCCGUUCUGCUUCAGAACAUUCUUCUAGUGCUGAAUCUGAGAGAAGUUAUAAAAAAAUCAAAAAAGCAUAAGAAGAAAAGCAAGAAGAGGAGACAUAAAUCUGACUCUCCAGAAUCAGAUGCCAAGCGAGAAAAGGAUAAAAAAGAAAAAGAUCGGGAAAAUGAAAAAGACAGAACUAGACAGAGAUCGGAAUCAAAACACAAAUCACCUAAGAAAAAAA